This 146-nucleotide non-coding RNA is filed under the name Gossypium hirsutum (cotton). RNAcentral describes it as "Bacterial large subunit ribosomal RNA". It matches the Rfam family "Bacterial large subunit ribosomal RNA", at positions 2656 to 2814 of the family's 2925-position model. The record is from Rfam by way of RNAcentral. Lineage: Eukaryota; Viridiplantae; Streptophyta; Magnoliopsida; Malvales; Malvaceae.
AGAGCAUUGAGAGGACCUUUCCCUAGUACGAAAGGACCGGGAAGGACGUACCUCUCGUGCCCACGGUAAACGCUGGGUAGCCUAGUGCGGAGCAGAUAAUUGCUGAAAGCAUCUAAGUAGUAAGCCCACCCUAAGAUGAGUGCUUU